Molecule: ribosomal RNA, 253 nt
Filed under: uncultured bacterium
Lineage: Bacteria
Description: partial 16S ribosomal RNA
Rfam family: Bacterial small subunit ribosomal RNA
Source: RNAcentral
UACGUAGGGGGCAAGCGUUAAUCGGAAUUACUGGGCGUAAAGCGUGCGCAGGCGGCUUUGCAAGUCAGAUGUGAAAUCCCCGGGCUUAACCUGGGAACUGCAUUUGUGACUGCAUGGCUGGAGUGCGGCAGAGGGGGAUGGAAUUCCGCGUGUAGCAGUGAAAUGCGUAGAUAUGCGGAGGAACACCGAUGGCGAAGGCAAUCCCCUGGGCCUGCACUGACGCUCAUGCACGAAAGCGUGGGGAGCAAACAGG